UCAGCUCCAGAAGCCCGCCGGGAGUCAG
RNAcentral lists this small RNA (28 nucleotides) under Bombyx mori (domestic silkworm). Its description in RNAcentral is "ovarian small RNA-25723". Lineage: Eukaryota; Metazoa; Arthropoda; Insecta; Lepidoptera; Bombycidae. The record is from RNAcentral.